ACAAGAGACGGACAGCGACAAAAUAUAACCUAUGAAGCGUAUCGUCUUUGAACCAACUCCGAAGUCGAAAAAAUUUACUUGAGAUGAAAAAUGAUGGCAUGGCUGCCCGAGUGCGAGGAGAGAUUACAAAUGUUUACAGUUGAAAACCCUUUUAAUUACCACCGAAAUAAGAAUGAUUUUUUGACUGUUUGGAACCAGCAGCCCAGCCUGAAGGUUGAAUCUGCCUGAAUGAAACUGCAGAAUGGUGGAGAUCCUAGCAGCCGUCCUCGUGGGCAAUCAUUAAAUUUUUUUUCUCUUAUUUUUUUUUCCCUUUUAUCAUUACAGAUCUAGCAACCUGAAUAUGCAGAAUUUGAUUGCAACCACACCUGUAUACUAUCGUAGGGGAGUUCUCCAAUAUUUUCGAAUGUUAAUCAAUAUACAAGAUGGAUCUUGAAAAUUCAUUUGACCAUAACAAUAUGCCUCUGGAUGAUAUUAUGGAUUUUGGCUAUUUCACAUCAUGACAGUUGAAGAAACAUUUGCUCUAUGUGCAAGAAAGAAUUUUCCCACAAGACUAAUUUACAGUGAAACGAAUAGCUUCCUCCGCUGCCAUGCUACCUUUGAACGACCCC
Molecule: long non-coding RNA, 608 nt
Organism: Stegodyphus dumicola
Lineage: Eukaryota; Metazoa; Arthropoda; Arachnida; Araneae; Eresidae
Source: RefSeq, a predicted model, not a curated record